UACUGCCCCAUAGUCUGGGAUACCACUUGGAAACAGGUGCUAAUACCGGAUAAGAAAGCAGAUCGCAUGAUCAGCUUUUAAAAGGCGGCGUAAGCUGUCGCUAUGGGAUGGCCCCGCGGCGCAUUAGCUAGUUGGUAAGGUAAAGGCUUACCAAGGCGAUGAUGCAUAGCCGAGUUGAGAGACUGAUCGGCCACAUUGGGACUGAGACACGGCCCAA
This 217-nucleotide ribosomal RNA is filed under the name uncultured bacterium. Its description in RNAcentral is "partial 16S ribosomal RNA". It matches the Rfam family "Bacterial small subunit ribosomal RNA", at positions 124 to 334 of the family's 1533-position model. The record is from RNAcentral.